This is a long non-coding RNA of Chelonus insularis, 3098 nucleotides long. RefSeq lists it as uncharacterized. The transcript has 5 exons. The record is from RefSeq and is a predicted model, not a curated record. Lineage: Eukaryota; Metazoa; Arthropoda; Insecta; Hymenoptera; Braconidae.
UUUGUUGACGUGUCUGUCCGCGAUUACAGUCAUACACACGUCUUUCAAAUGUGUAUAAUACCUCCUUAUAUUUUUUAACACUUGAAAGUAUUGUUUCUUAUUGUUAGCAGGUAUUCUUCUUGCAUCAACGAGUAUUAGUAGUUUCAACCAGACAAAGCGCUGAGACACACGAUCGGAUGUUUCACCUGAUGACUUUGGAGAUGUGACUGUUGAAUGCAUAAUGCUAUUAUGCACAUACGAAAGAAUGAUUGUUACUUUUUCCUUAUAAAAAACUUACUACAGGUAUUGUAUUAUUGUUUCGCAUUGGUUGAUCAUUCGACAAAGGAGAAUAAACUUUUUAAAUGAUUGAUGCUAGUUUAAGAUCGUGCAUGGAAUUGAUUUUUAUGAUAUAUUCGAGAAAAGGUAAAGUUUUGGCUGGAAGGAAUGAAAGAACUGGUCUUUAAGUCAAGUUAAAAGCAACUUAAAGGUCAAUUAAUAAUGUGUUGGAAUUUCUGAAUUAUUUUUUUUUUCUUUUUAAAUAUUAAAUUAAAAUAGUUAGAAUAAUAGGCAUAUAAUUUUUUGCAUGAUUACAAAGGCUUCAAUCAAAUUCUAAAAAAUCACAUUCAAUGCUUGAUAAUUGUUUAGAGUAUUUUAAACAGGGUUAUUACAAUAAAAUUUUAACCGAUCGAUUUUUGAGCAAACUAACAAGCUUAAUGCAACGACUGAUGGAGAUGAAAACUAUAAUAGUAUUGGAGCUGCAGUUAAGACCACCCAAAGACUGCCAAUGUGGACCUCAUACCAGGAACCCGAUUGUGUCCAAGGGUCACUCGACUGCUCAUUAUGCAUCUCAAAUCUCUCCUCGCACCUUCGUUAAUUUGAGUUAAGUGUUAAUUUAAUUGAACACCCUCACUUGCCGACGCAGCAUACAUAUAUACCUUUUUUCUUUUUUGACCAGUUUAUUAUAGAGUCAAUCGCCAUUCACCUUUGUUCUUUACCACUCAAUAAAUGUUCUUCAUUGCUCAUCAAUUAUACCGAUAAACCGUUUAAUGUUAAUCGUUAACUUGAGGUAAAAAUGCAUGAAAAAAAUUGGUAAUAAGUGUAAAUAAAUUGGCGGAUAAUGUACUGUUAGUAUUACUACAGUUUAUCGUAUAUGAAAUUUAUGCGUGAGGUUAUUCUUCUUCAAGAACAAUAUCUGAAAUGUUGAACAGGAACACGAUAUACUCUUCUACCGAUUCGCGCUUUCGGGUGUGAGCCUCGAUGUAGAAGGCAAUAUCUUUAUCAGCUAAAUGUGUUUUACAUUAAUACUUGAGUGUUUUAGUAGCCAUUGCCGACCAUUAAUGCCACAUUGGGUUGAGUGCUUCAACGCUUCUGCAUGGUAUGACCGAUUCAAGUAGAACCUUUGUAAUAUACCUCCAUUAUCUAACGGGCCGAUUUUUUUGAUUUUGCCAUUCUUCCUUUCAAAGCAAAAAAUGUUAAAAUAUUCAACAUUAGCUGAUGACUGAUAAAUUAAAAUCUUAGAGCAGCCAAGUGUAAGCUUUUAGGAAAUGAACAAAUUAAAGUUUAUAUUAUCUUACAGCAGAAGAGAAGAUAGAUCGACGAUGGAAUUGAAUCGAUAAGAACUGACGCGGUACAGACGUGGUACCAGUGGAGGAUGCUGGGAUCACUGGGGAACCUAGCUAACUCUUAUACUUACUUGAAUGGCCUCGGUUGGCUUAGUGUAGUGGUAGAAGAACGUCUUGCGUUGAAAGUGGUGGUAAGUAUGGUACCCCUGGAGCGGGUGUCAUCAUUUAUCUCGCACCGGAGAUCGGGUUUGCCGAUACUGUGGGACAUUUUAAUGGCCGAACCAUGUUGGAAUUAACUAAAACAAAGACGAAGCAUCAAUUAGGCGACUUUUUCUUCCACUUAUUCUUGCCUGAGAGGGAGUUAGAAAAAGACAGAAUUCAUAUACGUAGACAUCGAGUGUGUGUACAUGGUGAUGUGGAGUUGACACGCCGAUGCUGAUUCUCACGUACUUGAAUUUGAUGUGUAGGUAGCUGAAUUGUCCAAGAUAAUGCCUGAUAAAUUGUGCUCCGAUGCCGCCAAGGACCACCAUCGAAUUCUGCCAAAACAUCUGUCACAUCACAGAAUCUAACUCGAGCGAGUUUUAGAAGUAGCAGAAGGAAUGGUCAGGUUAGUGUGAACCUGUCGUCGCCCCAAUAGCUACCUCCGAGGUGAAAAGUUGAGAAACGAUGGCUGAAAAAAAAACCGACUUGAAGUUGUCCACAUCCGGUCGUUUAGAGAUGCAGCGGGGACCCACGACUCGUUCUCACACACUCUUUUUGUCUCUGCCAGUUCUCUAUGCCGGUAGACGAUACCAAACAGGCGAGAUUCCACGGAAAUUUCUUUGCCCAUUCUAUAUAUCCUCUCACUCUCAAUGAGUGAGUAGGAAUACUUGCGGCUUUUGAAAACAAAGAUUGGAAACAAUGGUGAUAGAGUAAAAUACAAAUUGAGAAAAAAAGAGAGGAGAAAGAAAGAUGAAACGAAGAUGAGAGAUUCAAGAAGAGUGAUACUGGCGUGUGUGAACCGGACAUCCCAAGUCUUUCUGUAGCCUUGAAUGGACGCGUCCAUGAUGUUAAAGAUUUAUUUUAUUUUUUCAAAGCUAGCUUACUACCUAAGAAACGUAAAUCUCAACGUGUGCGGCCAUGCCUAUGGCUAAGAUAACAUAAAAUUGAGCGAACUGACCUGCUAAAUACCGUUGUCAAUUACGACGAUUGGGACCGGAAGUGUUAUAAGAGAAUUGAGGAUGAAUUGACAAUGUCAAUUCUUGACGUUAUAAUAGGAUGAUCGAUGGACCUGGUAUAUUCAUCAGCUUUAGUGUCAACUGUAGAUGACUUCGCACACAUUUUUGAGACGAUCUAUUAUUCUAAAAUAAUGACUCACUAUCCUAGAGGCCAGAGAGAGAUACAAAGAAGAGGCUUGGUCGGAUUGAGUCCAGUGAUAAAUCGCUGCAGCAUUCGAAGAUGACACCGCGUACGUAUAUAGCAACUGAACAGAAACGAAAGAUGAGCCCAGGUGUUGUAGAGAAUAUUUAUAAAUCUACACCGUUAAAUAUUUAGAUUUAUUAUAUUGUAAAAAAAAAA